UAGAUGGUUUGAUAGUAGGGAUUAGAGUC
This 29-nucleotide non-coding RNA is filed under the name Rattus norvegicus (Norway rat). Lineage: Eukaryota; Metazoa; Chordata; Mammalia; Rodentia; Muridae. The record is from RNAcentral.